This 459-nucleotide ribosomal RNA is filed under the name uncultured bacterium. RNAcentral's name for it is "partial 16S ribosomal RNA". It matches the Rfam family "Bacterial small subunit ribosomal RNA", at positions 338 to 795 of the family's 1533-position model. The record is from RNAcentral.
CCUACGGGUGGCAGCAGUGAGGAAUAUUGGUCAAUGGUCGGGAGACUGAACCAGCCAAGCCGCGUGAGGGAUGAAGGUACAGAGUAUCGUAAACCUCUUUUGUCAGGGAACAAAGGCGGGGACGUGUCCCCGGAUGAGUGUACCUGAAGAAAAAGCAUCGGCUAACUCCGUGCCAGCAGCCGCGGUAUUAGGGAGGAUGCGACCGUUAUCCGGAUUAAUUGGGUUAAAGGGGGGCGCAGGCGGCCUGUUAAGUCAGCGGUAAAAGCCCGGGGCUCAACCCCGGCAAGCCGUUGAAACUGGCGGGCUGGAGUUGGAGAGAAGUACGCGGAAUGCGCGGUGUAGCGGUGAAAUGCUUAGAUAUGACGAAGAACCCCGAUUGCGAAGGCAGCUUGCUGCAGCGGAACUGACGCUGAUGCUCGAAAGCGCGGUUAUCGAACAGGAUUAGAUACCCGGGUAGUC